This is a long non-coding RNA of Gorilla gorilla gorilla (western lowland gorilla), 805 nucleotides long. RefSeq lists it as uncharacterized. The transcript is spliced from 3 exons. NCBI's taxonomy places the organism in Eukaryota, Metazoa, Chordata, Mammalia, Primates, Hominidae. The record is from RefSeq and is a predicted model, not a curated record.
GUGGACAAGGAAGGAGCUUCUAACAGUUUCAAAGCCUGAGAUCAUACAUCCUCCUGCUCCACAUCAGCAAAUACUUUGGGACUAUGGAAAAGGUCAAGGGAAAAGAUCAUGACAAACUAAAGGAGUGAAGUGAUUUCACGAGAUCCUCGCGAACAAAAGGCACGGAAAACAGGCACAGGUGGAAUAAAAAGGGGAGUGGCUGAGGCCAGGCGGCUCUCGGGACAGCGCCCCCACGCCCCCAGUUCCCCCGGCCGCACCUGAGAAAUCACUGCCCUCCACACCUCGACCCUUCCGCGCCGGCGCCAGGAGCAAAUUCUCCGACCUAUUACCCUCCGCCCGUACCUUGGCCAGACACUGGGCAUUGUCUGGAGCCUCCUGUGCCAAAGAAAGGCAAGGAGGAAAGGAAAGGAGAGAACGAAGGAGAAAGAACAAGUGAGAAUAAAGAACGGAAAGGGAAGUAAAGCAACAGGGAAACUGUACGUUCCUUUUGGUAAAAUUAGCUUCCUCAUCGAUCACUCGAUUUAAUUCAGCCCCCAAAACCAACCCACCAGCCCAAAGGCUGCAGCCGGGGGUGGCCAAACCGGAGUCCCUCGAAGCUGUGCCCGCCCGAACCACUGAGGCAGGGAGAGGGAAAUGGGCGUGUGGGCUGGGCCUGGCUGGCCCGAGGCCGGGCUCCGAACAAAGCCGCCUGGGUCCCCAUACCUGGGACGAGGGCUCUGGGCGGCGCCGCCCUAGACGGGCGACGCCCUAGCCCCGCGGACCUGGCCCGGGCGAGGAAUCGCGGCCGGUCCCCUCCCCGCCCUCG